This 450-nucleotide ribosomal RNA is filed under the name uncultured bacterium. RNAcentral's name for it is "bacterial SSU rRNA". It matches the Rfam family "Bacterial small subunit ribosomal RNA", at positions 354 to 796 of the family's 1533-position model. The record is from RNAcentral.
GUGGGGAAUAUUGCGCUAAUGCGGGAAACCGUGACGCAGCGACGCCGCGUGAGGGAAGAAGGCCUUCGGGUUGUAAACCUCUUUCAGGAGGGAAGAAGCUACUCGGGUUAAUAGCCCAGAGGGUGACGGUACCUUCAGAAGAAGCCCCGGCUAACUACGUGCCAGCAGCCGCGGUAAUACGUAGGGGGCAAGCGUUGUCCGGAUUCAUUGGGCGUAAAGAGCGUGUAGGCGGUUAGGUAGGUCAGUUGUGAAAACUGGAGGCUCAACCUUCAGACGUCGACUGAAACCCCCUGGCUAGAGUCCGGGAGAGGAGAGUGGAAUUCCUGGUGUAGCGGUGGAAUGCGCAGAUAUCAGGAAGAACACCCGUGGCGAAAGCGGCUCUCUGGAACGGUACUGACGCUGAGACGCGAAAGCGUGGGGAGCGAACAGGAUUAGAUACCCUUGUAGUCC